GCCGCCGGUCAACGGCCGGCGCGUGGUGGUCACGCGCCGGUGACACUUCACCAGAAUGUGGGGAAUUUUGUUACGGACCCAAUUCCAUCAUCGGUUUUUCCACAUGAGGCCCAGACAGUGCUCAACCAGGGCCAAAAGACCUAUGCUACUGCAGUUUCUGGCCGUCCGGGCCUAUCUCAAGCUGAACGGAGUUCACGAAAGUCGUUUGCAUCGGUUAUACAGGGUAUAGAUGACUCUUCCACUGCUGGGUUUGCUGCUAAAGAACCCUUUAUACAUAUGGGUGAGCCGGCAAUAGUUUUGACUGAGUCCGAGGAGGCUACACUCGCUGAUCCUUACAAGUAUACACUUGUGGGGAAAUUUCCACAUCGCAAGCCAACCAUGAGGAAGGUACGUGAGAUUUUUUCUAAGUUUGGGUUCCAUGGUUGUUUCGAGGUGGGAUUGAUUGACACAACACACAUUCUUAUACACCUUACACAUGAGGAGGAUUACAGCAGGC
RNAcentral lists this long non-coding RNA (496 nucleotides) under Olea europaea subsp. europaea. Lineage: Eukaryota; Viridiplantae; Streptophyta; Magnoliopsida; Lamiales; Oleaceae. The record is from RNAcentral.